RNAcentral lists this long non-coding RNA (1445 nucleotides) under Cricetulus griseus (Chinese hamster). RNAcentral's name for it is "lncRNA (ENSCGRG00000025755.1)". The record is from RNAcentral. Lineage: Eukaryota; Metazoa; Chordata; Mammalia; Rodentia; Cricetidae.
UGGAUUUUUAUAGGAAUAUAUAGGCGCUGCUCUCUGGGGUAUAGAAGACCUCAACCUUGAAUACUGUUCCUGGUGAGGCUGCAUCUGGCUCUGAACCCUCUGAACCUACUAGGAGAUAGCCACCUGCUCCCCAUAAUGGGGACAGAAAGGAGCUGCCCCGGGAGCAGCCCCUGCCCCCUGGUCCCAUAGGCACAGAAAGAUCACAAGCACAGACCGAGGCCCAGAGCCAGGCCCCCUUCCGGCCAGCCCACCGACCUGGCUCUCAAGUUGAGUUUGGCACUACCAAAAAGGACUCAGAUUUGUGCCUAGUGGUAGGAGACACUUUAAAAGGAGAGAAAGAGUUGACAGCAUCGGCCACAGAGGCCGUUCCCAUACCCUGAGACUGGGAGCUGCUUCCCAGCACUUCUGCUCCCGCUGAGCCACAAUCCAAGAGCCUGGGUUCUGGGCACUGUGGUCCACAGCCCAGCCCUUCAGAUCAGUGCCUGUAUCCUGAGGUCUUCUAUGGCAGUCCUGGGCCUCCCAGUUCCCAAGUCUCUGGUGGUGCCCUUGACUCUCAGUUACAUCCCAACAGUGGAGGCUUUCGUCCUGGGACACCCUCAUUGCACCAGUACAGGUCACAGCCCCUGUAUCUACCCCCAGGUCCAGCUCCUCCCUCGGCGCUGCUCUCUGGGGUAGCUCUCCAGGGCCAGUCUCUGGAUUUCUCAGCACUGCAAGCCACAAAGCUGGGGAAGUUGCCUGCUGGAGUUCUCUACCCUCCACUGUCCUUCCUCUACUCGGCAGCUUUCUGCCCCAGCCCUUUACCUGACACACCCUUGCUUCAGGUACGCCAGGGUCUGCCAUCCCCUUCAGAUUUUUACUCUAACCCUCUACAGCCUGGUGGUCAGCGUGGCUUCCUUCCUUCAAGAGCCCCUGCACAGGCCCUUCCCCCUAGCCUGGGGCCAGCAGAGCUGCACCCAGCAGAACUAAAGUCUUUCCAGAAAAAUCGAAAGCUGAGCAGCAACCUUGGUGGUCCUGGGUCAUCUCGGACUCCUCCAACUGGAAGCGGAGUAUUCCCAACUCAGCGCAUUGACCCCUACCAACAGGGCUCCCCACCUGAAGCCCUGCGCUGGAUGCUGAAGCCUUGGGAAAGGACGGGGCCACCUUCUCGAGAAGGGCCUCCCGAAGAGCAGAGGAGCCUGGGUCCCCGGGGAACAAGGAGCCUGGAUUGCCCCCACCCCACUGAGGGAGCUCCCCUUGACCCCCACCCCCGGGGCUUGUAUAUAGAUUAUAAAUAUAUAAGGGGGAAGGGGUAGCUGGGGAGGGGUUGUGGGUCUGGAGCCUCACUUCCCCUCUUCUCUUCCUUCCCCUGGUCCCCCAUCCCUGGGGCCAUUUGUUAAAAAAAGAAUAAAAGAAUUAAAAAAAAAAAGCAAGACGGAAUUUAAGCCAUGCAGUCAUCUCAUUUAUAG